GAGAAAAGCUUAAGAGAAAAAGCUUGUGAAAGAAUUUUUGUGAGAAAAAUUCUUAGUAUAAUUCGGGGUGGGUUGAGAGUUGUGAGUGUUGUAAACACUUUGUAUAUUUUCUCCCUUUAGUAAAAUGAUCUGCAGCAGGUCCGGAGACGUAGGCACAAUUGGCUGAACUCCGUUAUCAAAUUUGUGUGUCUUAUUUCCUCUGUUAUUCGCAUUCUCACUAAUCUGGUUUAUAGGGAAAUCUGCGUUAUUUCCUAACACUUCUCUGGUUCUGGUGGCUUUCGUACAACUUGUU
RNAcentral lists this long non-coding RNA (292 nucleotides) under Prunus persica (peach). Its description in RNAcentral is "long non-coding RNA (PPER_LNC006300)". The record is from RNAcentral. Lineage: Eukaryota; Viridiplantae; Streptophyta; Magnoliopsida; Rosales; Rosaceae.